GCAGUGACUUGCAGCUCCCAGCCAGUCAUGUUUACUCAGCCACAAUUCCAUGGUAAGGUGAAGAAUAUCCACAGUGAUGAAUGACCGAAAGAUGAAUGAGAUGCUAAAAGAAGUACCCACCCACUAUGGCACUGGAGGGAAGGUCCCAAUCUCAACUAUCAAGACACCUUGUGCCUAGGAUUGGAAGCAGACACAUAGAAAUCCACCAAACCCCAUCUAGAUUCUGAGCCCCACCCUUUCUGGAUGGUUUCCAAGGAUUUUGACUCAAGAAUUUUGAAUCAAAACUUCUAUCUUUGCUUAAUAAGCUUAGUAGGUUUUCCCAACUUCAGCUACACAAGAAAAUUUAAAUUUAUGUAUCAGUGACUGGGCCUCACCUAAAUCAAGGGAAUCAGCAUCUCUUAGUAAGGCUAUAGGCCUAGACAAGGAUAAACCUCUGGGUGAUUUUUCUGUGCAUACAGCAUUGAAACCAUACUUCACUGGUCAAUUAUCAACUUUUACAGCUUUAAACAAAUGUUAGGGAAGAUAUACUUAUUACAGAACUGACUGCAUGAUUAAGAGGAUAAAUAGGAUUUAGAAAAUAAAGAAGCAGUCACCAAAGACAAAACAUCAGUAAGGGUGAAAGCAGUAGUCACCAAUGAAAUUGCGGUGCCAGGUAUUGUCUAUUGGUGCUGGCACCAAUUUCCAAGCUCUCCUAUUGUCUUCCUUGUCUGAAGAGAAGGAAGAUUAAAACUCUAUGUCCCAGUCUUCUUUGUAGAUACAGUCCCAGUAGUGUUUUAGAUUCAGUUAACAUGAUCCACUCCUGCUACAUUUGGAAGAUGGAAGGAUUUCUGCAGGUACAGGGAGAGGAGGCACCAGCAGAGCUGCAUCAUGAGCACAGUGACCUUGUAAUCUAUAAAUGGACAUGGUGAAGAUGCAAAAUGGAAUGAGUCUGGGGUCCUGAAUCACUGCUUGGAAUAGAGGCAUCUUGGAAGAGGUUUCUCCCAUCACAGUGGCACCAAACAAAAUGACAACUGGAUAUAAAGGGGAGACAAAAGGUGUUGGGAAUGAGUGAGAUGUUAAAAGAAACAAGGACACAGUGUUAAAUCAGUGGACCCUGAUCAGUUUAGGGAGAAAAAACUUGCUGUUGGGAUAAGCCACCAAGAGAAUCACCUUUAUCUAACAGCACUUAGCAGAAUAACAGUUAAAAGAAGUUGUUUCUGUUCUUACACUGAACCGUAACUGAAAUAGUCACCAAAGUAAGAAUAAAUCACCAGUAAAAUUGAUGCAGAAAGCAUUAUUAGGGACUGAGAAUAUAGCAUGUGCAAAGUCUUGUGUUCAAUUCC
This 1322-nucleotide long non-coding RNA is filed under the name Heterocephalus glaber (naked mole-rat). RNAcentral's name for it is "lncRNA (ENSHGLG00100039238.1)". Lineage: Eukaryota; Metazoa; Chordata; Mammalia; Rodentia; Bathyergidae. The record is from RNAcentral.